GGAGGAGGGAAGGAAGAAGAGAGAAAUAAGAGGAAGGCAGGGAGGCCGGCAACCAGGGGUUGGCAAGAACACCCUGCUUCAGGUCAGGCAGCAUGCGACGGCACCGGCAAUUGCACACCGGUGAAGAACGUUGAUGAGCUUUCCUUUGCGCCAGUGCUUGGCAGGAGGUGCAGCAUUCAGCUAAUGCAAGCAUGAGUGGCGUCAACACAAGUUUAUUCCAGAGACUGCAGGCCAUGGACAGGCGCAUCUACAGGUCUAUGCUUCUGGACUUCUUUCGGACAGGACCCUGGACAACCUGGACCACUUCUCCAGGCCAGACGGACCAAAAUGCUGCUAUCAAAGAAUGUCAGCUGACCCCGGCCAUUUCCCCAGUUCCUGGGUGGAUGCUGUGGUAGUUUUGAGAACAGAACUCAGCCCAGUCACACUUUCCCAGGGAACUGUAAGGACGAGCUAUAAAUGGGUAACACUGAAAAGUCUGGAGCUCCAUCAAUUGAUGGUGAGACCUUCCAGAGGGAGGACAAGCUUGAUCUCAAUGGUUUAGAACAUGUACUGCAAUUUAAUGGCUUACAGAUAAUAAUUUAAGCGAACUUGUGCACAGUUAUCUGUAACAUGAAGGGAAGUUCCUAAGGCACCCUGCAGUUCUACGACUCGGUCAUUAUAGUAUUCUAAGCAUGUGUAAUAAACCAAAACCAAACUGCCACCGCGUCCAUUCCAACUCACGAUGGGAGUAGGCAGCCUCAU
Echinops telfairi (small Madagascar hedgehog) is the source of this 741-nucleotide long non-coding RNA. RefSeq lists it as uncharacterized. NCBI's taxonomy places the organism in Eukaryota, Metazoa, Chordata, Mammalia, Afrosoricida, Tenrecidae. The transcript has 5 exons. The record is from RefSeq and is a predicted model, not a curated record.